RNAcentral lists this ribosomal RNA (424 nucleotides) under uncultured prokaryote. RNAcentral describes it as "bacterial SSU rRNA". It matches the Rfam family "Bacterial small subunit ribosomal RNA", at positions 355 to 796 of the family's 1533-position model. The record is from RNAcentral.
CAAGGAAUUUUCCGCAAUGGGCGCAAGCCUGACGGAGCAACGCCGCGUGCCGGAAGACGGCCUUCGGGUUGUAAACGGCUUUUGCCGGGGAAGAUGAUGACGGUACCCGGCGAAUAAGCCCCGGCUAACUCCGUGCCAGCAGCCGCGGUAAGACGGAGGGGGCAAGCGUUGUUCGGAAUUACUGGGCGUAAAGGGCGCGUAGGCGGCACAUCAAGUCAGAGGUGAAAGCCCCGGGCUCAACCUGGGAAUUGCCUUUGAAACUGAUGAGCUAGAGUCCGGAAGAGGAUAGCGGAAUUCCCAGUGUAGAGGUGAAAUUCGUAGAUAUUGGGAAGAACACCAGUGGCGAAGGCGGCUAUCUGGUCCGGUACUGACGCUGAGGCGCGAAAGCGUGGGGAGCAAACAGGAUUAGAUACCCCGGUAGUCC